Molecule: ribosomal RNA, 483 nt
Filed under: uncultured bacterium
Lineage: Bacteria
Description: partial 16S ribosomal RNA
Rfam family: Bacterial small subunit ribosomal RNA
Source: RNAcentral
GACGAACGCUGGCGGCGUGCUUAACACAUGCAAGUCGAACGGUGAAGCCGGAGCUUGCUCCGGUGGAUUAGUGGCGAACGGGUGAGUAACACGUGAGCAACCUGCCCUUGACUCUGGGAUAACUGCGGGAAACUGUAGCUAAUACCGGAUACGACACCUUGGGGCAUCCCAGGGUGUGGAAAGAAUUUCGGUCAAGGAUGAGCUCGCGGCCUAUCAGCUAGUUGGUGAGGUAAUGGCUCACCAAGGCGACGACGGGUAGCCGGCCUGAGAGGGUGACCGGCCACACUGGAACUGAGACACGGUCCAGACUCCUACGGGAGGCAGCAGUGGGGAAUAUUGCACAAUGGGCGAAAGCCUGAUGCAGCAACGCCGCGUGAGGGAUGAAGGCCUUCGGGUUGUAAACCUCUUUUAGCAGGGAAGAAGCGAGAGUGACGGUACCUGCAGAAAAAGCACCGGCUAACUACGUGCCAGCAGCCGCGGUAA